This 320-nucleotide ribosomal RNA is filed under the name Enterobacter hormaechei subsp. steigerwaltii. RNAcentral describes it as "partial 23S ribosomal RNA". It matches the Rfam family "Bacterial large subunit ribosomal RNA", at positions 1570 to 1873 of the family's 2925-position model. The record is from RNAcentral. Lineage: Bacteria; Pseudomonadati; Pseudomonadota; Gammaproteobacteria; Enterobacterales; Enterobacteriaceae.
GAGGCACUACGGUGCUGAAGUGAUAAAUGCCCUGCUUCCAGGAAAAGCCUCUAAGCAUCAGGUAACACGAAAUCGUACCCCAAACCGACACAGGUGGUCAGGUAGAGAAUACCAAGGCGCUUGAGAGAACUCGGGUGAAGGAACUAGGCAAAAUGGUGCCGUAACUUCGGGAGAAGGCACGCUGAUGUGUAGGUGAAGCCCCUGCGGGCGGAGCUGAAAUCAGUCGAAGAUACCAGCUGGCUGCAACUGUUUAUUAAAAACACAGCACUGUGCAAACACGAAAGUGGACGUAUACGGUGUGACGCCUGCCCGGUGCCGGA